This 472-nucleotide long non-coding RNA is filed under the name Equus caballus (horse). Its description in RNAcentral is "lncRNA (ENSECAG00000045834.1)". Lineage: Eukaryota; Metazoa; Chordata; Mammalia; Perissodactyla; Equidae. The record is from RNAcentral.
AGAAUCUGGACUCCGAUUUCUGUCAGAAUUCACACUCCUGGCGGACAUACUCCCUGUGGUUUGUGUGGUGUUGAACAAGUCGUGGACCUCUCCCAGCCUCAGCUUCCAGAUCUGUAAAGUCAGACAAGAAUUGGACCCACCUCACAGGCUUGUUGGAGGAUCGCCCAGCUCUACGUCUUCUGAAGCACUCUGUGAACUCCCAAGCGCCUCGCAAACGGCAAGAAAAGCAUUAUCUUCAAUGCAGGAUUCUGCUUCCAGAAAUGGCCUAAAUCGUGGGGCUGGAAACAACAAGAAUCGAGCAAAUCCAAAUAACUCCCAGCUAACACUAGUAUGACAUUUGGUUAGGGAAAAUGUCCCAAGAGAAAUGUAAACUAUUUGAAAACAUCCUGUUACUAAAACUUGGACAUAAAAAGAAUGACAAAUGGACUGGACUCAACAACUUAAUUCUAAGCACGCAUGAGUUUGGCUCCCG